This 488-nucleotide ribosomal RNA is filed under the name bacterium. Its description in RNAcentral is "bacterial SSU rRNA". It matches the Rfam family "Bacterial small subunit ribosomal RNA", at positions 57 to 533 of the family's 1533-position model. The record is from RNAcentral.
GCAGUCGAGCGGCAGCGGGAACGUAGCUUGCUACUUUUGCCGGCGAGGGGGCGGACGGGUGAGUAAUGCCUGGGGAUCUGCCCAGUCGAGGGGGAUAACAGUUGGAAACGACUGCUAAUACCGCAUACGCCCUACGGGGGAAAGGAGGGGACCUUCGGGCCUUUCGCGAUUGGAUGAACCCAGGUGGGAUUAGCUAGUUGGUGGGGUAAUGGCUCACCAAGGCGACUAUCCCUAGCUGGUCUGAGAGGAUGAUCACCCACACUGGAACUGAGACACGGUCCAGACUCCUACGGGAGGCAGCAGUGGGGAAUAUUGCACAAUGGGGGAAACCCUGAUACACCCAUGCCGCGUGUGUUAAGAAUGCCUUCGGGUUGUAAAGCACUUUCAGCGAGGAGGAAAUGAUUCUGGCUAAUAUCCAGCAUCUGUCACGUUACUCGCAGAAAACCACCGGCUAACUCCGUGCCAGCCUCAGCGGUAAUACGGAGGGU